Molecule: ribosomal RNA, 492 nt
Filed under: uncultured bacterium
Lineage: Bacteria
Description: partial 16S ribosomal RNA
Rfam family: Bacterial small subunit ribosomal RNA
Source: RNAcentral
AGUGAACGCUGGCGGUAGGCCUAACACAUGCAAGUCGAACGGCAGCACAGUAAGAGCUUGCUCUUACGGGUGGCGAGUGGCGGACGGGUGAGGAAUACAUCGGAAUCUACUUUUUCGUGGGGGAUAACGUAGGGAAACUUACGCUAAUACCGCAUACGACCUACGGGUGAAAGCAAGGGAUCUUCGGACCUUGCGCGAUUGAAUGAGCCGAUGUCGGAUUAGCUAGUUGGCGGGGUAAAGGCCCACCAAGGCGACGAUCCGUAGCUGGUCUGAGAGGAUGAUCAGCCACACUGGAACUGAGACACGGUCCAGACUCCUACGGGAGGCAGCAGUGGGGAAUAUUGGACAAUGGGCGCAAGCCCGAUCCAGCCAUACCGCGUGGGUGAAGAAGGCCUUCGGGUUGUAAAGCCCUUUUGUUGGGAAAGAAAAGCAGCAGGUUAAUACCCCGCUGUUCUGACGGUACCCAAAGAAUAAGCACCGGCUAACUUCGUG